CAUUACGAUCCCCGAAGUUAAGCAACAUCGUGCUAAGUCAGUACUUAAAUGGGUAACUGCUUGGGAAUACCAGUUGUUGUAAG
Non-coding RNA from Acanthosepion pharaonis, 83 nucleotides. NCBI's taxonomy places the organism in Eukaryota, Metazoa, Mollusca, Cephalopoda, Sepiida, Sepiidae. The record is from the annotation of a GenBank genome assembly.